UACGAGGGGGGCAAGCGUUGUUCGGAAUUAUUGGGCGUAAAGGGCGCGUAGGCGGUGCGGUAAGUCUGAUGUGAAAUCUCACAGCUUAACUGUGAAACUGCAUUGGAUACUAUUCGGCUUGGGAGUUGGAGGGGGGACUGGAAUUCUUGGUGUAGCAGUGAAAUGCGUAGAUAUCAAGAGGAACACCAGUGGCGAAGGCGAGUCCCUGGACAACUUCUGACGCUGAGGCACGAAAGCUAGGGGAGCAAACAGG
This 253-nucleotide ribosomal RNA is filed under the name uncultured bacterium. Its description in RNAcentral is "partial 16S ribosomal RNA". It matches the Rfam family "Bacterial small subunit ribosomal RNA", at positions 524 to 776 of the family's 1533-position model. The record is from RNAcentral.